AGCGAACGCUGGCGGCAGGCUUAACACAUGCAAGUCGAACGGGCACUUCGGUGCUAGUGGCAGACGGGUGAGUAACACGUGGGAACGUACCUUUCGGUUCGGAAUAAUCCAGGGAAACUUGGACUAAUACCGGAUACGCCCUUCGGGGGAAAGAUUCAUCGCCGAUAGAUCGGCCCGCGUCUGAUUAGCUAGUUGGUGAGGUAAUGGCUCACCAAGGCGACGAUCAGUAGCUGGUCUGAGAGGAUGAUCAGCCACAUUGGGACUGAGACACGGCCCAAACUCCGACGGGAGGCAGCAGUGGGGAAUAUUGGACAAUGGGCGCAAGCCUGAUCCAGCCAUGCCGCGUGAGUGAUGAAGGCCUUAGGGUUGUAAAGCUCUUUUGUCCGGGAAGAUAAUGACUGUACCGGAAGAAUAAGCCCCGGCUAACUUCGUG
This 433-nucleotide ribosomal RNA is filed under the name uncultured bacterium. Its description in RNAcentral is "partial 16S ribosomal RNA". It matches the Rfam family "Bacterial small subunit ribosomal RNA", at positions 29 to 507 of the family's 1533-position model. The record is from RNAcentral.